CCUACGGGUGGCUGCAGUGGGGAAUAUUGCACAAUGGGCGCAAGCCUGAUGCAGCCAUGCCGCGUGUGUGAAGAAGGCCUUCGGGUUGUAAAGCACUUUCAGCGGGGAGGAAGGCGGUGAGGUUAAUAACCUCAUCGAUUGACGUUACCCGCAGAAGAAGCACCGGCUAACUCCGUGCCAGCAGCCGCGGUAAUACGGAGGGUGCAAGCGUUAAUCGGAAUUACUGGGCGUAAAGCGCACGCAGGCGGUCUGUCAAGUCGGAUGUGAAAUCCCCGGGCUCAACCUGGGAACUGCAUUCGAAACUGGCAGGCUAGAGUCUUGUAGAGGGGGGUAGAAUUCCAGGUGUAGCGGUGAAAUGCGUAGAGAUCUGGAGGAAUACCGGUGGCGAAGGCGGCCCCCUGGACAAAGACUGACGCUCAGGUGCGAAAGCGCGGGGAGCAAACAGGAUUAGAUACCCCUGUAGUC
Molecule: ribosomal RNA, 465 nt
Filed under: uncultured Klebsiella sp.
Lineage: Bacteria; Pseudomonadati; Pseudomonadota; Gammaproteobacteria; Enterobacterales; Enterobacteriaceae
Description: bacterial SSU rRNA
Rfam family: Bacterial small subunit ribosomal RNA
Source: RNAcentral